GAUGAACGCUGGCGGCGUGCCUAAUACAUGCAAGUCGAGCGAACAGAUAAGGAGCUUGCUCCUUUGACGUUAGCGGCGGACGGGUGAGUAACACGUGGGUAACCUACCUAUAAGACUGGAAUAACUCCGGGAAACCGGGGCUAAUGCCGGAUAACAUGUUGAACCGCAUGGUUCUACAGUGAAAGGCGGCUUUGCUGUCACUUAUAGAUGGACCCGCGCCGUAUUAGCUAGUUGGUGAGGUAACGGCUCACCAAGGCAACGAUACGUAGCCGACCCGAGAGGGUGAUCGGCCACACUGGAACUGAGACACGGUCCAGACUCCUACGGGAGGCAGCAGUAGGGAAUCUUCCGCAAUGGGCGAAAGCCUGACGGAGCAACGCCGCGUGAGUGAUGAAGGUCUUCGGAUCGUAAAACUCUGUUAUUAGGGAAGAACAAAUGCGUAAGUAACUGUGCGCGUCUUGACGGUACCUAAUCAGAAAGCCACGGCUAACUACGUG
RNAcentral lists this ribosomal RNA (497 nucleotides) under uncultured bacterium. RNAcentral's name for it is "partial 16S ribosomal RNA". It matches the Rfam family "Bacterial small subunit ribosomal RNA", at positions 28 to 507 of the family's 1533-position model. The record is from RNAcentral.